UUUCCCGCCUCUUCUCCUCAGGCCCGAAGCCCAAGGCCCCGUUGGCGUCGCCCUCCUUGCCUCCCUUUCCGCCCCGAGCCUUACCCCUCCUUCACAAUCGCAGUUAAGGAUGGCUGCUUAAUCCUUAUUAAGGAUUAAUCUUCAUCGAUCGCUGCUCCCUAGCGGACCCUGCUCGGGGCGGGGGCGCCCAAAUGGGGUUCUGGGGAGGGUGUGAUAGACUCCUCUGGUGGAGAAAAUGAGACUGGAAAAACGCUAAGUGCCCCUGCCUUAGAAGGUAUCGCCCCAUUCUGCUGGUAGUCAACUGCAGUGUCUACAGGCCAUGUCAAUUUCAGCAUCUCCAAGGGGACACCAGGAUAUUCUGCCUUAGUGCCCUGCGAACAGUACACAUUCACUACCACUGACUGACUGAUUGUUGCUUGCAAGAAAGACAAGAAUGAGGAGAACAGAGAAGAAGAGACAUGCUUUCUGGACAGCCAAGAUGGGACCCUGCCAGUUAGUGGGAUUGCAUCAGCGGCCUCUUCUGUCUAAAGGAUCCUGUGUGUUUCUCAAAGGGCAACUCGCUGUUUCCCAUCCACACACGGUGCGUGAUGAGAAAUACGUUAAUGACACAUCGAGUGGCGGCUCCGUGCACCGUGCAUGUCUAAUGCGCGAACGUGCAGUUGUCCAGACUUGA
Molecule: long non-coding RNA, 673 nt
Organism: Ornithorhynchus anatinus (platypus)
Lineage: Eukaryota; Metazoa; Chordata; Mammalia; Monotremata; Ornithorhynchidae
Exons: 4
Source: RefSeq, a predicted model, not a curated record